RNAcentral lists this ribosomal RNA (347 nucleotides) under uncultured bacterium. Its description in RNAcentral is "bacterial SSU rRNA". It matches the Rfam family "Bacterial small subunit ribosomal RNA", at positions 29 to 377 of the family's 1533-position model. The record is from RNAcentral.
ACGAACGCUGGCGGCGUGGAUUAGGCAUGCAAGUCGAGCGGCAAGGCACCUUCGGUGGCCCUAGAGCGGCGAACGGGUGAGUAAUACGUGAACAACCUGCCCUCACAUUCUGGAUAAUUCACCGAAAGGUGUUGUAAUACAGGCGAGGAUUCUUGAGAGGCAUUUCUUGAGAAGGGAAGGCGCAAGCCGUGCGAGGAGGGGUUCGCGGAUUAUCAGGUAGUUGGUGGGGAAUGGCCUACCAAGCCGACGACGAUUAGCUGGUCUGAGAGGAUGGUCAGCCACAUUGGAACUGAGACACUGUCCAGACUCCUACGGAGGCUGCAGUCGAGAAUCUUGCACAAUGUACG